Non-coding RNA from Candidatus Accumulibacter, 140 nucleotides. Lineage: Bacteria; Pseudomonadati; Pseudomonadota; Betaproteobacteria. The record is from Rfam.
UAUAAUUGACCCCGUUUUGGGUACCUUGCCCCACGCUCGUGGGGCGGGUGAAACGGGAAGCCGGUGAAUCUGAAUCUUCAGACAUUCCGGCGCAGCCCCCGCUGCUGUAAGCCUGACGACUCCGCAAUACGCCACUGUGC